GGGCCCAUCCAGAUCAGAAGCUAAGAAGACCAAGGUGAAAAGGAAAACCAACAACCCCCAGUUUGAUGAGACAUUUUACUUUGAGGUGACACGACCUCUUAGUCACACCAAGAGACAGUUUGAUGUGGAGGAGGAGGGUGUUGACAAGCUGGCUCUGAGGGUUGACCUGUGGAAUGCCAGUAACCUGAAGUUUGGGGAUGAGUUCCUGGGAGGGGUCAGAGUUCCUCUGAGGGCCCUGGGACAGGCCGGG
Molecule: long non-coding RNA, 250 nt
Organism: Oncorhynchus gorbuscha (pink salmon)
Lineage: Eukaryota; Metazoa; Chordata; Actinopteri; Salmoniformes; Salmonidae
Exons: 4
Source: RefSeq, a predicted model, not a curated record